UACGUAGGGGGCAAGCGUUAUCCGGGUUUACUGGGUGUAAAGGGAGCGUAGACGGCAGUGCAAGUCUGAUGUGAAAACCCGGGGCUCAACCGCGGGAUUGCAUUGGGAACUGUACCGCUUGAGUACUGGAGGGGCAGGCGGAAUUCCUGGCGUAGCGGUGAAAUGCGUAGAUAUCAGGAGGAACACCGGUGGCGAAGGCGGCCUGCUGGACAGUAACUGACGUUGAGGCUCGAAAGCGUGGGGAGCAAAC
This 250-nucleotide ribosomal RNA is filed under the name uncultured prokaryote. RNAcentral's name for it is "partial 16S ribosomal RNA". It matches the Rfam family "Bacterial small subunit ribosomal RNA", at positions 524 to 773 of the family's 1533-position model. The record is from RNAcentral.